CUGAAUCAUUACUUCAUCUCUCCUGUUUUUAACAAAUCAAACCGUGUGAAAAUCGGGUAAAAAUUGGUGAAUUUGUGAUUAUUAUAAGGAUGCUCUGAAAUAAUAAAUGUUUAUCAAACAUUUAUCUAAAAGCCCAAUAUCGAUUAUUUUUUUUGUUUUGUGACUUUUGUUUUUU
Astyanax mexicanus (Mexican tetra) is the source of this 175-nucleotide long non-coding RNA. RefSeq lists it as uncharacterized. Lineage: Eukaryota; Metazoa; Chordata; Actinopteri; Characiformes; Acestrorhamphidae. The record is from RefSeq and is a predicted model, not a curated record. The transcript is spliced from 2 exons.